Molecule: transfer RNA, 72 nt
Filed under: Diaphorina citri (Asian citrus psyllid)
Lineage: Eukaryota; Metazoa; Arthropoda; Insecta; Hemiptera; Psyllidae
Rfam family: tRNA
About the family: Transfer RNA (tRNA) molecules are approximately 80 nucleotides in length. Their secondary structure includes four short double-helical elements and three loops (D, anti-codon, and T loops).
Source: Rfam by way of RNAcentral
GCUCCCAUGGCAUAGUGGUCACUGCACUCACCUUGCAUGCGGGAGACCCAGGUUCGAUUCCCGGCAGGGUCA